AGUGAACGCUGGCGGUAGGCCUAACACAUGCAAGUCGAACGGCAGCACAGUAAGAGCUUGCUCUUACGGGUGGCGAGUGGCGGACGGGUGAGGAAUACAUCGGAAUCUACUUUUUCGUGGGGGAUAACGUAGGGAAACUUACGCUAAUACCGCAUACGACCUACGGGUGAAAGCAGGGGAUCUUCGGACCUUGCGCGAUUGAAUGAGCCGAUGUCGGAUUAGCUAGUUGGCGGGGUAAAGGCCCACCAAGGCGACGAUCCGUAGCUGGUCUGAGAGGAUGAUCAGCCACACUGGAACUGAGACACGGUCCAGACUCCUACGGGAGGCAGCAGUGGGGAAUAUUGGACAAUGGGCGCAGGCCUGAUCCAGCCAUACCGCGUGGGUGAAGAAGGCCUUCGGGUUGUAAAGCCCUUUUGUGGGGAAAGAAAAGCAGCAGGUUAAUACCCCGCUGUUCUGACGGUACCCAAAGAAUAAGCACCGGCUAACUUCGUG
RNAcentral lists this ribosomal RNA (492 nucleotides) under uncultured bacterium. RNAcentral's name for it is "partial 16S ribosomal RNA". It matches the Rfam family "Bacterial small subunit ribosomal RNA", at positions 29 to 507 of the family's 1533-position model. The record is from RNAcentral.